RNAcentral lists this ribosomal RNA (460 nucleotides) under uncultured bacterium. RNAcentral's name for it is "partial 16S ribosomal RNA". It matches the Rfam family "Bacterial small subunit ribosomal RNA", at positions 338 to 795 of the family's 1533-position model. The record is from RNAcentral.
CCUACGGGAUGCAGCAGUGAGGAAUAUUGGUCAAUGGACGCAAGUCUGAACCAGCCAUGCCGCGUGCAGGAAGACGGCUCUAUGAGUUGUAAACUGCUUUUGUACGAGGGUAAACGCAGAUACGCGUAUCUGUCUGAAAGUAUCGUACGAAUAAGGAUCGGCUAACUCCGUGCCAGCAGCCGCGGUAAUACGGAGGAUUCAAGCGUUAUCCGGAUUUAUUGGGUUUAAAGGGUGCGUAGGCGGUCGGAUAAGUUAGAGGUGAAAUCCCGAGGCUCAACUUGGGAAUUGCCUCUGAUACUGUGCGGCUAGAGAGUAGUUGCGGUAGGCGGAAUGUAUGGUGUAGCGGUGAAAUGCUUAGAGAUCAUACAGAACACCGAUUGCGAAGGCGGCUUACCAAGCUACUUCUGACGUUGAGGCACGAAAGCGUGGGGAGCAAACAGGAUUAGAUACCCUUGUAGUC